GAAAGAUUACACAAGAACUGCUAAUUCCUGUACCUAAAACUAAAAUCUUUAGAUCUNUCA
Molecule: transfer RNA, 60 nt
Filed under: Gerrhonotus infernalis
Lineage: Eukaryota; Metazoa; Chordata; Lepidosauria; Squamata; Anguidae
Description: tRNA-Ser
Source: RNAcentral